UGCAAGUCGAACGAUGAACCGCUUUCGGGCGGGGAUUAGUGGCGAACGGGUGAGUAACACGUGGGCAAUCUGCCCUGCACUCUGGGACAAGCCCUGGAAACGGGGUCUAAUACCGGAUAUGACUGUCCAUCGCAUGGUGGAUGGUGUAAAGCUCCGGCGGUGCAGGAUGAGCCCGCGGCCUAUCAGCUUGUUGGUGAGGUAGUGGCUCACCAAGGCGACGACGGGUAGCCGGCCUGAGAGGGCGACCGGCCACACUGGGACUGAGACACGGCCCAGACUCCUACGGGAGGCAGCAGUGGGGAAUAUUGCACAAUGGGCGAAAGCCUGAUGCAGCGACGCCGCGUGAGGGAUGACGGCCUUCGGGUUGUAAACCUCUUUCAGCAGGGAAGAAGCGAAAGUGACGGUACCUGCAGAAGAAGCGCCGGCUAACUACGUGCCAGCAGCCGCGGUAAUACGUAGGGCGCAAGCGUUGUCCGGAAUUAUUGGGCGUAAAGAGCUCGUAGGCGGCUUGUCACGUCGGUUGUGAAAGCCCGGGGCUUAACCCCGGGUCUGCAGUCGAUACGGGCAGGCUAGAGUUCGGUAGGGGAGAUCGGAAUUCCUGGUGUAGCGGUGAAAUGCGCAGAUAUCAGGAGGAACACCGGUGGCGAAGGCGGAUCUCUGGGCCGAUACUGACGCUGAGGAGCGAAAGCGUGGGGAGCGA
This 700-nucleotide ribosomal RNA is filed under the name Streptomyces sp. DRL74. RNAcentral's name for it is "bacterial SSU rRNA". It matches the Rfam family "Bacterial small subunit ribosomal RNA", at positions 56 to 771 of the family's 1533-position model. Lineage: Bacteria; Bacillati; Actinomycetota; Actinomycetes; Kitasatosporales; Streptomycetaceae. The record is from RNAcentral.